CCUACGGGUGGCAGCAGUGAGGAAUAUUGGUCAAUGGCCGGAAGGCUGAACCAGCCAAGCCGCGUGAAGGACGAAGGUGCCAAGCAUUGUAAACUUCUUUUGUCAAGGGACAAAAUCAGGCUCGUGAGCCUGACCGAGUGUACUUUACGAAAAAGCAUCGGCUAACCCCGUGCCAGCAGCCGCGGUAAUACGGGGGAUGCGAGCGUUAUCCGGAUUUAUUGGGUUAAAGGGGUGCGUGGGCGGGCUGUUAAGUCAGCGGGAAAACCCCGGGGCUCAGCCCCGGCGAGCCGUUGAAACUGGCUGUCUGGAGAGGGCGAGAGGUAUGCGGAAUG
Molecule: ribosomal RNA, 332 nt
Filed under: uncultured bacterium
Lineage: Bacteria
Description: partial 16S ribosomal RNA
Rfam family: Bacterial small subunit ribosomal RNA
Source: RNAcentral